RNAcentral lists this ribosomal RNA (442 nucleotides) under uncultured bacterium. Its description in RNAcentral is "partial 16S ribosomal RNA". It matches the Rfam family "Bacterial small subunit ribosomal RNA", at positions 339 to 795 of the family's 1533-position model. The record is from RNAcentral.
CUACGGGUGGCUCCAGUGGGGAAUAUUGGGCAAUGGGCGAAAGCCUGACCCAGCAACGCCGCGUGAUUGAAGAAGGUCUUCGGAUUGUAAAAAUCUGUCCUUGGGGACGAAAAAAAUGACGGUACCCAAGGAGGAAGCCCCGGCUAACUACGUGCCAGCAGCCGCGGUAAUACGUAGGGGGCGAGCGUUGUCCGGAAUUACUGGGCGUAAAGGGUGCGCAGGCGGCGCUUUAAGUCAGAUGUGAAAUACCCAGGCUUAACCUGGGGGGUGCAUUUGAAACUGGAGUGCUUGAGUGCAGGAGAGGAAAGUGGAAUUCCUAGUGUAGCGGUGAAAUGCGUAGAUAUUAGGAGGAACACCAGUGGCGAAGGCGACUUUCUGGACUGUAACUGACGCUGAGGCACGAAAGCGUGGGGAGCAAACAGGAUUAGAUACCCUCGUAGUC